UCCCUGCUGGCUCAAUCAGUAAAGAAACUGCCUGCAAUGCAGGAGACCUGGGUUCAAUCCCUGAGUAGGGAA
Molecule: transfer RNA, 72 nt
Filed under: Bos taurus (domestic cattle)
Lineage: Eukaryota; Metazoa; Chordata; Mammalia; Artiodactyla; Bovidae
Also listed under: 5 other names
Rfam family: tRNA
About the family: Transfer RNA (tRNA) molecules are approximately 80 nucleotides in length. Their secondary structure includes four short double-helical elements and three loops (D, anti-codon, and T loops). Further hydrogen bonds mediate the characteristic L-shaped molecular structure. tRNAs have two regions of fundamental functional importance: the anti-codon, which is responsible for specific mRNA codon recognition, and the 3' end, to which the tRNAs corresponding amino acid is attached (by aminoacyl-tRNA synthetases). tRNAs cope with the degeneracy of the genetic code in two manners: having more than one tRNA (with a specific anti-codon) for a particular amino acid; and 'wobble' base-pairing, i.e. permitting non-standard base-pairing at the 3rd anti-codon position.
Source: Rfam by way of RNAcentral